GAUUAAGUAGCUUAUUAGAGCGUUGCAUUGAAGCUGCAAAUGAGCAAAUCUUUUUGCCAUAAUCA
RNAcentral lists this transfer RNA (65 nucleotides) under Cyanoplax caverna. RNAcentral's name for it is "tRNA-Phe". It matches the Rfam family "tRNA". Rfam says of the family: Transfer RNA (tRNA) molecules are approximately 80 nucleotides in length. Their secondary structure includes four short double-helical elements and three loops (D, anti-codon, and T loops). Lineage: Eukaryota; Metazoa; Mollusca; Polyplacophora; Chitonida; Tonicellidae. The record is from RNAcentral.